Molecule: ribosomal RNA, 253 nt
Filed under: uncultured bacterium
Lineage: Bacteria
Description: partial 16S ribosomal RNA
Rfam family: Bacterial small subunit ribosomal RNA
Source: RNAcentral
UACGAGGGGGGCAAGCGUUGUUCGGAAUUAUUGGGCGUAAAGGGUGCGUAGGCGGCGCGGUAAGUCGGGUGUGAAAUCUCGGAGCUUAACUCCGAAACUGCAUUCGAUACUGCCGUGCUUGAGGACUGGAGAGAAGACUGGAAUUUACGGUGUAGCGGUGAAAUGCGUAGAUAUCGUAAGGAAGACCAGUGGCGAAGGCGGGUCUCUGGACAGUUCCUGACGCUGAGGCACGAAGGUCAGGGGAGCAAACGGG